UCCUCACUUUGCUUUUGAUCAUCCUAAACAUUCAUUUCUUAUUUAACAGAGUCUAUGGUUCAACGGAACUGGUACCAUAGAUCCUCAAUGUCCGAAUCUUUAUGACUUGGAAAAAUAUAUCUACAAUAAUCUAAUGAACUGUACACGCGCAACACUUUAGAAUGAUCAGGCCGUUACAAGGAAUGAUAAUGAAACAACCACUUAAGUAUUGGCAAUGGAGACACUGGCCAUGAUAGCUUCAAUGGCCUUUCCCUUUGACUUUUGAUCAUGAAUGAUCUCUGAGUCAUCAUUCUCCAUUUCGACGGAAACCCCAGCAGAAAGCCAUUAGCCAGAAAGUGGAAGCCAAGAAAAGCUCAGUAUGUGGCUAUUGACAAAUAAAGCAGGUAUACUUCUGAGCAUAAAUUAGCUUAGAAGUGGAACCCCUCAGUUAAAACGAAUUCUCUUUAUGGCAGCAACUCCCAACUGAUAGUUCCCUUGGUUUGAAGAUGAAAGCAGUUUAAAAGCUGAAAUUUUGCACACCAAUUGUAAUUGAAAAACAGGACUCUUAAAUGACUCUGCUAUAAUAAUGAUAAUAAAUAUUAACUUACAUUUACAGGUGAAAAUAGAGGCCUAUUUUGAUUUUUAGUUCUGUUAGGUCUAGUGGUCAGCCACCUCCCAGCACAUCACUUGCCACAUUUCCAAGGUUUCCAACUGCACAAAACUAUGCAGUGAAUGCAGAUCCUGUUUAAGCAAAUCUUAAGGAAUCCUAAACAUCCCUUUGUAUAACAGAUAUGAUGUAAAUGACAAAUCAGUAAAUAGACUGUUAUUCCGUUUUCCCCUUUCUCUUUCCUCUUUUUAUCUUUCCGUCACUCAGAAACAAGAUGAUCAACGGCCAAAUAAUAGCCCCCAACAAUCAUACAAGAUGCUAAACCACAAGAAGUCAUUCGCAACCAGCUCCCACGAAACAAGAGAUUCCUGUCUGCCGGAUGGAUCCCUGUAACUCUCUCAAACCAAUUUCCAGGUCGUCUCCAUUUCAAUAGUCUCCUCUCCAUGGAAAUAUGCUUGGGCAACACAGUACACUGUGAUCGACUUUUAGCAGUGUCAAAACAAUGAGAUGCAGCAGCAGCAACAGAACCAGAAAAUCCAGCUGCAAGACUAACAGAUAUAGGAGAGAGUGGCCCAAUUUCUUCAUCAGACCUGGGUAAAGAAUCCAUCCCAACUGCCUUCCAGUCAAGCAUUGCUCGGUGCAGGAAUUGCCAGCUAGAAAAAAAGAUCCCACCAUAAAUAGAGUCCCGAACAACUCCUGACCGAAGUCCUCUCCACAAUGCACCCCAUCCUUCCAAAGAAAUGAUAUUUGAUGGCUUCUGAACAUUGCAGACUGAUGGUGCCUUCCCAGACCCAGUCAUCAUCCAUGGGUACUCUUGCAAGGCACCAACCAAAUUUGGGUGUUUAGCAGAUAGGGUUGACAAAAGAGCAACAGAAUUGUUCAAUGCCAUCUUUUCUGGAGUAUAUCCAUGCAGUAAUUUAUCAAUCAGAGGUGAAACAGCUUUACUUUCUGCAUUAAAGGAAGACCUUGGAAUCCGAGAUGCAGAUGUAACCUGUGCACGAAGUUUAAUCAUUUCAAAUGGAGAGCGUACAAGCGACUCCAUUGAACCGGCUGCCAUUCCUGCCAAGAGGGCCUCAGAAACAUACACAUAAUUGUCUUCUCUGCCAUCUUUAUAAAAAGCUGUCAAAACUUCAUAGAUUCCAAAGCGAGCUCCCAUACCAAGUAUUCUCCCUGAGGUCAACCACCCAAAGCCACCAUACAAGCCUGAAUUCCCAGAUAAUGAACGAACUCUAUUUAAAACCUGAUACAGAGUUAAUGGUUUAUUGGAACUUGAACCAACCUGGAUAAGGACUUUUGUAGUAUCAAGGGGAUAAGUAAGCGCUGUGCUUAAUGUUACUGACCCUGCAGCCGCAAUCACAUGGGUUGCAAACAAGUGGUUCUUCAACAAUUCAUCCAUUAGUUCUAGUAUUCAGUCCCUUACUGACGUUUUCUGACUUCUGGGCAGCUGAAGGGAGGCCACUGAGGGUCUCUUAUUUACUGGAUUGAAGCAGGAUGGAAUUGUUGGAUUGUUGCGCUCAGUAAGGCUCCACACAUUGAAUAUAUGAUGAGAAGAUGAACAUGUAACCAAG
Molecule: unclassified non-coding RNA, 2154 nt
Filed under: Hevea brasiliensis (rubber tree)
Lineage: Eukaryota; Viridiplantae; Streptophyta; Magnoliopsida; Malpighiales; Euphorbiaceae
Source: RNAcentral